AGUGAAUAGAUACCCCGGUAGUCCUGGCCCUAAACGAUGAAUGCUUGGUGUGGCGGGUAUCGAUCCCUGCCGUGCCGAAAGCUAACGCAUUAAGCAUUCCGCCUGGGGAGUACGGUCGCAAGGCUGAAACUCAAGGGAAUUGACGGGGGCCCGCACAAGCGGUGGAGCAUGUGGUUUAAUUCGACGCAACGCGAAGAACCUUACCCAGGCUUGAACUGCAGAUGACAUCCUACGAAAGUAGGCUUCCGCAAGGACGUCUGUAGAGGUGCUGCAUGGCUGUCGUCAGCUCGUGUCGUGAGAUGUUGGGUUAAGUCCCGCAACGAGCGCAACCCUUGUCUUCUGUUGCCAUCAGGUUAAGCUGGGCACUCUGAAGAGACUGCCGGUGACAAACCGGAGGAAGGUGGGGAUGACGUCAAGUCAGCAUGGCCUUUAUGUCUGGGGCCACACACGUGCUACAAUGGCCGGUACAAACCGUCGCGAUCCCGCGAGGGGGAGGCUAAUCGGA
This 505-nucleotide ribosomal RNA is filed under the name uncultured bacterium. RNAcentral's name for it is "bacterial SSU rRNA". It matches the Rfam family "Bacterial small subunit ribosomal RNA", at positions 773 to 1276 of the family's 1533-position model. The record is from RNAcentral.